Molecule: ribosomal RNA, 491 nt
Filed under: uncultured bacterium
Lineage: Bacteria
Description: partial 16S ribosomal RNA
Rfam family: Bacterial small subunit ribosomal RNA
Source: RNAcentral
GAUGAACGCUGUCUACAGGCUUAACACAUGCAAGUCGAGGGGAAACGACGGGGAAGCUUGCUUCCCCGGGCGUCGACCGGCGCACGGGUGAGUAACGCGUAUCCAACCUGCCUCUGACUGAGGGAUAACCCGUCGAAAGUCGGCCUAAUACCUCAUGGCAUCGUCUGCGGGCAUCCAACGACGAUUAAAGAUUUCAUCGGUCAGGGAUGGGGAUGCGUCUGAUUAGCUUGUUGGCGGGGUAACGGCCCACCAAGGCUACGAUCAGUAGGGGUUCUGAGAGGAAGGUCCCCCACAUUGGAACUGAGACACGGUCAAAACUCCUACGGGAGGCAGCAGUGAGGAAUAUUGGUCAAUGGGCGGGAGCCUGAACCAGCCAAGUAGCGUGCAGGAUGACGGCCCUAUGGGUUGUAAACUGCUUUUAUGCGGGGAUAAAGUGAGGGACGUGUCCUUCAUUGCAGGUACCGCAUGAAUAAGGACCGGCUAAUUCCGUG